Molecule: ribosomal RNA, 253 nt
Filed under: uncultured bacterium
Lineage: Bacteria
Description: partial 16S ribosomal RNA
Rfam family: Bacterial small subunit ribosomal RNA
Source: RNAcentral
UACAGAGGUCUCAAGCGUUGUUCGGAUUCAUUGGGCGUAAAGGGUGCGCAGGCGGCCAAGUGUGUUAGGCGUGAAAGCCUGGGGCUUAACCCCAGAAUUGCACCUAAAACUACAUGGCUAGAGCAUUGGAGAGGGUAGCGGAAUUCACGGUGUAGCAGUGAAAUGCGUAGAUAUCGUGAGGAACACCAGAGGCGAAGGCGGCUACCUGGACAAUUGCUGACGCUCAGGCACGAAAGCGUGGGGAGCAAAAGGG